This 72-nucleotide transfer RNA is filed under the name Danionella cerebrum. RNAcentral's name for it is "tRNA-Pro". The record is from RNAcentral. Lineage: Eukaryota; Metazoa; Chordata; Actinopteri; Cypriniformes; Danionidae.
GGCUUGUUGGUCUAUGGGUAUGAUUCUCGCUUAGGGUCCGAGAGGUCCUGAGUUUAAUUCCCGGACGAGCCC